RNAcentral lists this ribosomal RNA (468 nucleotides) under uncultured bacterium. RNAcentral's name for it is "partial 16S ribosomal RNA". It matches the Rfam family "Bacterial small subunit ribosomal RNA", at positions 28 to 507 of the family's 1533-position model. The record is from RNAcentral.
GACGAACGCUGGCGGCGUGCUUAACACAUGCAAGUCGAACGGAAAGGCCCUGCUUUUGUGGGGUGCUCGAGUGGCGAACGGGUGAGUAACACGUGAGUAACCUGCCCUUGACUUUGGGAUAACUUCAGGAAACUGGGGCUCAUACCGGAUAGGAGCUCCUGCUGCAUGGUGGGGGUUGGAAAGUUUCGGCGGUGGGGGCUGGACUCGCGGCUUAUCAGCUUGUUGGUGGGGUAGUGGCUUACCAAGGCUUUGACGGGUAGCCGGCCUGAGAGGGUGACCGGCCACAUUGGGACUGCGAUACGGCCCAGACUCCUACGGGAGGCAGCAGUGGGGAAUAUUGCACAAUGGGCGGAAGCCUGAUGCAGCAACGCCGCGUGCGGGAUGACGGCCUUCGGGUUGUAAACCGCUUUCGCCUGUGACGAAGCGUGAGUGACGGUAAUGGGUAAAGAAGCACCGGCUAACUACGUG